AGAAAGGGUACACCACUAUACAAGUUAUGUGCGUGAGUGUCUUUGCUGUCUUUUAUCAACCAUUUGAUCUAGGGAUCUAGUCAAUGGGGAGCCCAAAUCUUGCACUUGCCUACUUGCUAUCAAGGACACUAGUUGGUUCACAUGUAUCAUGUGUGUCGACAAGAUAUUCCACUCUUCAAUGGCAGCUCCUUUGGGCAGCUGAUGGGGUUGUACAUUAGGGGUAGGCCUACGGACCUGCUUCCCUAGGCCCACCUAGGACCCCUUACGGACAUCACUGCCUUUCAAGCCACCGAUGUAGUCUCGACCUCACUCGGUACAACAUACCAUCACACGGCAGAUCUCGAGUCACUCGGAUCGCCUUGUGUCAGUCGGAUGCAUCCUGGCACUCAGACCACAGCAAGGCAACGACACCGAAGAGGCUGCAACGACUAAGGACUUAAUCCAUCACAUAAAGUGUACUGAAGACUCACGUUACCAGUAUAGCCAAAGGCGGAGGACGAAAAAAAAUUAAGGUGUGGCGAAGUCUUAAGGAAAUAAUUCUUUUAAUGC
Molecule: long non-coding RNA, 549 nt
Filed under: Hordeum vulgare
Lineage: Eukaryota; Viridiplantae; Streptophyta; Magnoliopsida; Poales; Poaceae
Description: long non-coding RNA (HVUL_LNC001078)
Source: RNAcentral